UUUAGCGGCUGAAUCACGAAACUUACACUCUUAAAGUUCUUGGAGCAAGUUUGGGUGUGUGAGACCUCCUCCUUUUUCUUCCCUGGGUUUGCAUUGCCUUCCAUUUCUUCCAUUGUAAGCUCAAGCUGUCAAUGACAAUGGAGAACUAACUUCAUUUUUGUUGGAGAAAAAUGUAACUUAUGAACUUCAUGUAUAUGAAC
Molecule: long non-coding RNA, 200 nt
Filed under: Vigna radiata
Lineage: Eukaryota; Viridiplantae; Streptophyta; Magnoliopsida; Fabales; Fabaceae
Description: long non-coding RNA (VRAD_LNC015960)
Source: RNAcentral